Molecule: long non-coding RNA, 15685 nt
Filed under: Vitis vinifera (wine grape)
Lineage: Eukaryota; Viridiplantae; Streptophyta; Magnoliopsida; Vitales; Vitaceae
Description: long non-coding RNA (VVIN_LNC005876)
Source: RNAcentral
AUAACCCGACUUCCAAAUCUAAUUUUCAAUCUCAAAAGCUCCACCGUCCCUAUAUUGUCGUUUAACGAUUAUUCUCGUUAUUAAUGUUAUCUCAUCCACUUAUUCAGUUAUUCAUAUACCAAAGAUCUCGUCCCUAAAUAUUUUCUUAAAUUUUCAAUCUAUGAGUUUAAUCUCCAAUCUCUAAAAAUUCCAUCUCUCGUAAUUAUUUACCUGAUCUUUAUUAUUUCACCAUCCCAUUCAUUUACUUACUCACUCAUUCGCUUAUCCACUCGUUUAAAAUCCCGAACUCUCAAAUCAUUUUUCAAAUUUCCAACCUCGUUCAAAUUCAAUUUCUAAUAUUCUCGUUCUCACAUUUAGUUUCUAAAAGUAUGAUCUUCAAAUAAACUUUAAAAUUCCAAUUUUUAAAUAACCAUCGGGACUCCAAUUUUUCAAAUGAAUUUCAAAUAUCCGAUUUUCUCUCAAAUAGUUUUAAUUUCAUUCUGGUCUUCAAACAAUCUUCUGCUCCUCUUGAUUUUAAUAAGCAUGAACGAAUUUUUCAUAAUUCCAAAAUAAUGGAGUCUGUGACGUUAAGUCAUGCAAAUAUAAACGGGUUUUAGUGGGAGCCCAACAUGGGUGACUUUAUGAUUGAUUGAUUGAUUGUUUGAUUUAAUUAUCAUACACGAUUGGUUUAUCCUACUCUCUAACAUGCAUGCGAUUAUUCCUAAAUUGUGCACUAACCCUCUCUAUUGAUAGCGCAUGGUGGCUCGUUGCCCAGGUAUGUACCCAUUUUCCCUCUAAUCGUUGUCUAUGCAUGUCUCGAUUCUUAUAUGUGCAUGAUCAUUCAGGAUAUUCAUUGAUUUACUCAUCAAUUGUCACGUCAGCUUCAUUUUAUUAGUAGAGACCCAACUUUAGGGACUUACAAGGGUGCUACGGCCUUUACCGUACCUUCCCGAUAAGUAACCUGACCCCCAAACCGGAUCCGGUUUUUCGUAAAUCACCUUUUCCAAAAUAAGGAGUCGUACUUAGGGUUUUCUUUCUUAUUUUGUUUACUCUUUUAAAAAUAAAAUAAAAAUAAGUGAUGACUCUCAGUCAUUUUCUUAAUCAAUAAAAAUUGUUUUUCAAAUAAAAAUCGAGCUCACCAUCCAGUGGGAAACGUAUGAGCCGAAAUGCGGGGCCACAACCAUUAUCAAUCAUAUUUUUUAAAAAAAAAACUAUUUACUUAAUUACUUUAUUCACCACCAAAGAUUUUCCUCGUCUCUUGGCAUAUAAGCUCAUGGGUCGAAGUUCCACGAAACUCCAGGGUACAACAAGGGGUAAAAAGGUCACAUAUCACAGUCACUUCCCAAAUACGUAUGAAUUGAUUUCGUGCAAUCCAUCAUCUUCAAGAAACAAGAGGCGAGAGAGCCGUUUCACGUACUGAAUUUGGGUGUUGUGGUGAGUCUCAUGGACAACUGGACUCGAAAAUGAUCCGACUCUUUUAUGUCGUCUCGGCAUUAUUAAUUUCCGCAAAUCCAUCACAUUGCGCCCCGUACGUUUCUGUUAGGAUUCUUUCAAAUAAUUUUUCACGUAUCCGAUUACUAGUCUAUCUGAAAAAGCAGAUAUUUCAAAUUGUUGGCCCCGCUUUCAUCUAUAAUUAGCCUUAUUAGUCAAAUAAUUCACACUACUCAUUGUUCAUGCUCACAGAAGCACUUAUCUCACUAUUCAAGUGGAAUGGUUGGGCAACUUCACCACUACUCUAUGAAUAUAUUUUAUAUGUUUUGAGCACUUCUGGCUUUGAAUAAAGCAUUUUUUAUAGUCAUAUUUGUACACCUAAUUUUCAUAUGAAGUCAUAUUUGUACAGCUAAUUUUCAUAUGAAGUCAUAUUUGUACAGUUAGUUUCCAUAUGAAUCGAGAGGAGGAAAAGAGAAAAAUGUGAAAUGGCCAACCUUUUCCAUACGUGAAAUAUUGGUAGUCCAAUGCAGGCUCCUUUUUUUUGAAUGGAAAAUAACUAUAUUCAAAAGGAUGAAUUCUCCGGAAUGGGUGAAUUUCAGGAUUGGGCCUUAAGUGCUUUAGCAAAUGUCAAGUAAGCGUACGUGAAGAUAUAAACAGCGAGUCAGGAUCCUUUUUUUACACAGCCUCCUCCCAUUCGCCUUUAGCCACUUACGCGUGAAUUCCGCGCUUAGAACAAUUUUAACAUCUCAUGCAAUGCUGGUCCACCAAAGAAUCCAAUCAAAAUGCUAUAAUUCAAUUCAUUACCACGGAAUCUCAAACCUGUUGAUUCUUCUCAUAUCAAAAAGCAACUCAAUUAUGGACAACUUUUCUUCUUUUUCUCCAUCAAAUACUCAUGGUGGUAGAUGCCUCCUUUCUUUAUCUCCCUAUAUAUAUUUAUUUAUAUAUCUUUCCCACAGACAAAACCACUUCCAAAGCUCUCUUAACCAGCCAUGGGUUCCAACCACAAGAGUCUCCAGGCAAUAUUGGGCGCACCAGGAGUGAGGGGUAAGAGGGUAACGGCUCUAUCAAAAGAUGGAUUAACUGAUUUUGUGCUUUCCAUGAUCUCCAAGAAACAAGAGCUCAAAGAGCCAUUUUAUGUGCUUGAUUUGGGUGUGGUGGUGAGUCUCAUGGAGAAGUGGUCUCGGGCUCUGCCUCUGGUUCGACCCUUUUAUGCUGUCAAGUGCAACCCGGACCCCACAUUUCUUGCUGCACUAGCGGCUCUCGGCUCAAGCUUUGACUGUGCUAGCCGCACGGAGAUUGAGACCGUUUUGGGUCUUGGAGUUUCUUCGGAUCGGAUUAUUUUUGCAAACCCAUGUAAAGCCGAGUCUCAUAUCAAGUACGCCGCAAGCGUAGGCGUUAACUUGACAACUUUUGAUUCAAGGGAUGAAAUCGAGAAAAUUCGAAAAUAUCACCCGAAAUGUGCCUUAUUGAUCCGGGUGAAACCUCCGGAGCACGGUGUCCAUUAGAGUCCAAGUACGGUGCACUCCCUGAGGAGGUGACGCCGCUCCUCCAGGCUGCACAAGACGCUCGGCUCACUGUCUCCGGCGUGUCUUUCCAUAUUGGUAGCGGCGCCACCCUUGCGCAGGCCUACCGGGGGGCGAUAGCUGAAGCGAGGGCGGUGUUUGAUACAGCCUCGCGGCUCGGCUUGCCUCGAAUGCAUGUGCUCAAUAUCGGUGGCGGCUUUACAUCUGGGCCGCACUUCGAUGACGCCACUUCUGCUAUCAAAUCGUCUCUCCAAGCCUACUUCCCUAACGAACAUGGGUUAACCAUCAUAGGCGAGCCAGGCAGGUACUUCGCCGAAUCGGCUUUCACUCUAGUCACCAAUAUUAUUGGGAAGCGUGUGAGGUCGGAGCUGAGGGAGUACUGGAUCAACGACGCAUUUACGGCUCUCUGAACUGUAUACUAAACGACCAUGCAACUGUGACCGCGAAGCCUCUCGCUUGCACUUCCAAUAGCGUGAACCCCACGUGCCGUCGAGUUAGGACUUACUCCUCUACAGUGUUUGGACCCACGUGCGACGCACUUGAUACAGUUUUGACCGGUCACCAGUUGCCAGAACUGCAGGUCAAUGAUUGGCUGAUGUUUCCUAGAAUGGGAGCUUAUACCGCUGCUGCCGGGUCCAACUUCAAUGGGUUUAACAUGUCCGCGGUUACGACCCACCUAGUCUACUCGAAUCCAACCUGAGACGUGGUGCUUUUUGGAUGGUUGUUGACAAUCUUUUCCUUCUUGUCCCUUAUGGAGAAAUUUACGUAAGAAAAUCGAUUGUGUCUUUGCUUUGGAGUUUGGAAUAUUAAUAAUAAACAUGGAUUGUUGUAAUGGUGUGCUUUAUAAUUUAAUUAAACUAUUUUCCUUAUCCAUUUCUAGAAAACAGAAAUCAUAUAAUUUCUUUUCUUACUGGAUUGUACAUGUAAAAAGUUCAAUUCUUCUCAAAAAGUCAAAAUCACCAUGGUUAUCUUAAAAAAAUAAAAAUAAAAAACAAAAAUUGACAUGUGGUAACCACCCAUGUCAUAUAAUUUCUCUUUAUUUAUUUAUUAUGUUUGUCAAUUUUUUUUAAGCUUGACAUAUGUCCCAAAUUAUUUUUAUUUUUAUUUUCUCUUUCUUUAUUUUAGUUUUUUUAGUUUUUUUUUUUAUAUGUUAGUUACAUUUUUUUUAUGAAUUUUUUAAUUCUUUUUUUUCAUUCUUUCAUCUUUUUAUUUUAAUUAUUUAUGAACCCUUGAAAUAUAAAAUAAUAUAUAAUAUAUAAUAUAUAAUAUAUAAUAUAUAAUAUAUAAUAUAUAAUAUAUAAUAUAUAAUAUAUAAUAUAUAAUAAAUAAUUAAUGAAAAAUUUUAAUAUAAUUUUUAUUUUUUAUUCAUAUAAAAUAAAAAUAAAAAAUAAAAAAUAUUUUUUCAUGCACAAUUUGUAUUUAAUAAUUUAUAUUAAUUUUUUCUUAGUUUUAUUAAAAAAUAAUUUUUUUUUGCAUAGUGAAAAUUGUGCAACACAACUCUUAGAAAAAAAAGGAUAUCACUCUUUUAUAAAAAAAAAUAACAUUAAUUAGUAUAGCUCUUAGAAAAUAAGGUAUUACUCUUUUAUGAAAACCGUAACAAAUUGUUAAAGGUAUACUUAACACACUUGAGUAUUAUUAUUAUUUUAUAUAAAAAACAAAAGUAAUAUCCUUUUUUUCCAAUGGUUGUGUCUAUUUGUGCACAAUUUGAGUGUGCAAAAAUUUUAAUUUUUAAUAAUUUUUUAAAAAAUAAUAUAAAUGAUUAGAUACAAUUUUUUAACAAAAAAUUAAAAUUUUUAAUAAAAAAAUGUUAGAACCACAACCAAGUUUUUAUCCUCUUUAAUUAAAAAUAUUAAAUAUUUUAAUUAAGAAAAAAGUUAAAACCACAAUCAAAUUAAAUUCAUAAGCAAAAAGUUAAAACCAUAAUCAUCAAUUUUGAUUUUAUUAUGAAAAAUUGAAAAUUUUAAAAAAUAAAAAUAUUAAAAUAAUAUGACAAUGUAAUAAGAUUUAUAAAAUAAAUAAAUAUUUUUUAGUAGCAAUCUAAAAAUCUUAUAUUAUAAAUCUCUAAAUUUGUUCAUUGUGUAUUUAUUUUUAUAUUAAAUUUGUUUUCAUUAGUUAUUAAUUAUUUAUUUUUAUUUUAUAUUUAAAAUGUUCUUAAAUAAUUGAAAUCAAUGCAUAUGAAGUGAUGAAAUUGUGAAAAAAAAAUUAAAAUUUUAAAAUUUUGAUAAAGCCAACACAUUAAAAAAAGCAAAAAAGGUAUUUUUAACUUUUGAAAAUAGUUUUUGAAUUUUUAUAAAACAAAAGUCUAUUUGAAAACUUAAAAUAUUUUUAACACAUUUUUAAUAUUUUUAAAUAUGUUUGAAAAAUAAAUUUUAUAUCUGGUGUUUUAUUUUUUUAUUUAUUUUUUUUUAUCAUUUUACAUGUUUUUGUAUGAUUAUUUUGUUAAAAUAACUCUUAAAAAAUAAGUAAAAAUAAAAAAAAAAAUAUUUUACUUUUUAUUCUUAAUAAAAAAUCAUUUUUAAUUGUUAAUUUUUUUUUUUUUAUCUUUUAAAUAAUAAAAAACUAUUCUAAAAAAUAAUUUUCAUGAAUCCUAUUGAGAUGCUCUUACUUAAGCAACUAUCUCUAACAAAUUAUUUGGUCCUAUUUGUUAUUAAUGGGAUCAAGAAUACUUUCAAUAAGAAAUAUAUUGAAGAGUUGGUGCAGGGUAAUAAUGGGAUCAGAGUUUAUGAAAAGUCUGAUCUAAAAUUCCUAAAAAAAAAUUAGCCUUUUAUUAUUAAAUCAACAAUGAUCCGGUAAAAGGGGAUUUAAGCUAGGUUCAAUAGAAAAUAAGACAAUUAUGUUUUGGACCUACUUGAGUAAAAAAAUUAAGCUUUGGUCUGUAUAAGUUCACCAUUUAAGUUCAAGAUCUAGAAGAAGUGUGAAAAUUGAUAGGAAGGAUAUGAAUUUUUUAUCUUUCAAAAAAUGAUAUUUAUUGACUAUGAAAAAAGGAAAGUAGAAAAGCAUUAAUUUAAAUUUUAUUUAUUUUGUAAACCUCAAUAAAAUUUAAUUUAAUUUAGUGAUUUGGAAAAAAAUAUACCAUUUUCCAAAAACAUAAAAAUAAAAAUAAAUUAUUAUUAUUAUUAUUAUUUAAAAAUCAAACAUCUUAGAAAAUAUCUAUCUUUAAAAUUGUGUAUAUAAAAAAUAACUAAAAAUAUGUCAAAAUUAUUUUUUUUAAAUGAUGUAUUUUUAGAAUAUAUUUAAAAAAAAUUAGUUUUCUAAAAAUAAUGAAUUUUCAAAAUAAUUAUUAAAUAAAUAAAUAAAAAAGUUUAUCAAAUAUUAUGAUAGAAAAUACUCAAAAUAGUUUUGAAAUGCAUAUUGGUUUCUUCAUAUUUUAUAUUAUUUUUAUCAAUUAUAUAAUUUUUAUGUGUCAAAUCUUAAGUUUUUGGCUAAUUGGGUCAAAAGCACAAUUAUGCCGGGGGGAAAUAUGGAUGGAAAAGUUGUUGGUUAGGAACUUAGGACACAGAUUAUAAACUUUUUGUACGUGGUAUGCCUACCUUUUUUGAAAUAUUUCCAAUCGCUUUUAUAGACAAGACGAAUUGUUGGAAGUAUAGCAUCGAACAAGUAGACGUAGCUGUUGACUUGUAUGGCGAAACAAUGUUCUAUCAAAUCGGUCAAACUCUCCCAUUUCUGGCCGCUUCUCCAGUUCUCCUUCGUGAUUGAUAACGAGGUGAGGCCCACAUCCCAACAUAUCAUAUCUUACAUGGGCUGAUGAUUUUCCUACGUGGCCAUCAAACAAAUAAAGAAAAAUGGAAAGGGAGAAUCACGGCCACAUAAAAAUAAAAUAAAAUUUAAAUGUUAGAUUUUUAACUUUGGAAACAAAACACGUACAUUUUGGAAAAAUUUCCAAAAACUAGUCUCUCUACCCAUCACUCCUACCCCCCAUCACCUACUUAUUUUUAUUCUCUCUACCCAUCUCUCCUACUCCCAUCACCUACCUAUUUUUAUUUUUAUUUUUGACACGUCAGAGAGCAUCAUGAUUAUCUUAAAAAAAAAAAACACCUUUGAAAUGUGGCAACCAACCACUGGCACAUGAUUUAUUUAUUUUUUCAAUUUACUAGCUUCAUGAAAUUUUUUUAAUUUCAAUUUUUUUCACCACUUCAUAUUAAUUGAUUUUUAUUAUUUUAUUGAUAUUUUAAACAUAAAAUAAUAAUUUAUGAUAAAUAAUUAAUGAAAAUAAAUUGAAUAUUAAAAUAAAUACAUAACUAAUAAAUGUAGAGGUUUAGGAUAUAAGAUCUUUUAUAUUAUGUUAAAAAAAUAUUUAUUUAUUUUAUAAAUCUUAUUAUAUUGUGAUCUUAUUUUAUUAUUUGUAUUUUUAAAAAUUUUAAAAAUUUCAUGUGACAAUCAAAAUUAAUGAUCACGACUUUACCUUUUUGAUCAUGGUUCUAAAUUUUUGAUUGAUUAAAAUAUUUAAUUGUUUAUUGGUUAAAAUAUUUAAUUGUUUAUUUAUAUGAAAUAAAAAUAUAUUUUUCAUAACAAAUUGUAUUUAAUAAUUUAUAUUAAUUUUUUAAAAUUUUAUUAAAACUUUAAUUUUUUACUUACCAAGUACUGAAACCAAUUUAGAGUGUUUAGGAAGGUGUUAAUUUUUUUUUUGUGUACUUCAAAGAUGUGUAAUUUUAGUAUGCAAAAAUAUUAAAGAUACUUGAAAGAUGUAUAAAUUUAACAUGGAAAAUUUUUAAAUCUGUUAUAAAAUAUAUAGUUUAUUUUAUAUUUUAUAUAAAUAAAAAAUUAAAUAUCUUUACCAAGAAAAAAGUUAAAAUCAUAAUAAAAAGGCUAGAACUAUGAUUAUUGAUUUUGAUCUUCACAUGAACAUAUAAAAAUUUCAAAAAAUAUAUACAAUAAAAUAAUAUGGCAACAAUAUUUUUAUUUAAUUUAAAUAUGAUAAGAUUUAUAAAAAUAAAUAAAUAUUUUAUUAUUUUUAUUUAAUAUUGAUAUAUAAAAUCUUAUAUCGUAUACUUCUAAAUUUGUUCAUGUAUUUAUUUUUUUAUUAAAUUUAUUUUCAUUAAUGAUUUAAUAUAUAUAUAUAUAUAUAUAUAUAUAUAUAUAUAUAUAUAUAUAUAUAUAUUAUUAUUUUAUGAUUAAAGUGUUUAUAAAUAAUUUAAAAAUAAAUAUGAAAAACAUAUUUUAUUUUUAUUUGAUAUAAAUAAAAAUUACAAAUUUUAACAAUGCAAAAUAUUAGAACUAAAGCUAAGUUUUUAUCUUUUAUAAUUAAAAAUAUUAACAUUUUAACUAAAAUAAAAGAAGUUAAAAACACAGUUAAUUAAGAUCAUAAACAAAAAAACUAAAAUUAUGAUUAUUAACUUUAAAUUUUAUAUGAAAAUUUAAAAAUUUUAAAAAUAUAAAUAAUUAAUAAUAUGACAAUGUAACAUUAUUUAUAAAAUAAAUAAAUAUUUUAUUUAAUAGGAACAUAGAAAAUCUCAUGUUAUAAACCUUUAUUUUUUUAUUUUUAUAUUAAAUUUGUUCUCCUAUUUUCUUAUUAGGCUUUCACCUUAUAAAUUAGUUGUGUACACAUUAUUUUUUUUAAAGAAAAUAUAAGAAAAAAAUUAUAAUUAUUGUUUUUAUUAUAGAAAAUAAAAAAAUCAAAUUUAACCAAAUUUAACUAAGAUUCUUGCAAUUUUUUUUGUAAAUUAUUUUAAUUUUGUAUAUGAAAAAUAAAAAAAUAAGUUAAAUAAAUUAAAAAUAACAUAUGAAAUAAUUCAAUGGUUUUAAUCUAUCUUUUGUAUUAUUUUUCGUCUUCUACUUUUUUUUUUCCCCUUCACAUUUUUUGAAACUUAAACAUGAUAAAAAAAAAAAAAAUAGUUUUAGUUUGAGAUUAGAUUAGCUAAAUUCAAAAUUUAAAUUGAUUUUUUUUAAUAGGAAUUUAAUUAUGGCAUAACCAAAAGGAAAAUGUGAUCGUAUCUGGAAUUAAAGAUCAAAAUUGUUAUUUAAUAACAGGUAAACGAUUAAAAAAUUAUCUAAAAACAUCUGAUUGACGCAAUCAACCACGUGGCGACAAAAGAGUUUAGGUGAACAUGCGGCUCUCACGCAAUAUAAUCUUGGCCCGCUUGUGUUUUAGACGCGGGCCGGACUGGCCCAUUUUCAGCCCAUAAUAUUUGGGAUAAGUAGAAUAAAAUCCAAAAAUCAAAGGGAAAACAGCCAGAACCCCAGGUGAGCAAAGACCAGCUAUUCCGUCUAUUUUUUUGUGUCAUCACGCCAUGGAAGCUCUGAGUUCCUCUGCAACAAUCAUAGCUGCUUCAUCGUCAUCUCCAUCGAUUUUCUCCCCAAGGAAAAGAGACUCACCAAGAUUCCUUCGAGUCAACGUUUCUCCAAAAGGUAAGAUCUCACCACAGCAUCUGCCAUCAUUUCUGAUUUCUUUCGUUUUCUUUUCUCUUUUUGUGAAAUUAACAAUAGAAUAUGGUUUUGAAUCAGAUAACGGGAACGAUUCCGAUGUCCGAUCCGAAUCGGAUGAGUCAAGCUUGGUUCCCAUCCUGACGAAUCGUACUCUCUCGAAGGUGAGUUCCUGUUAACGAAAUCCUGUUCAAUUUUUAUUUUUAUAGUAAUUUAGGGUUUAUUUUUUAGGCUUAUUUUUUUUGGAAAUUUUCUUAGGAUGCGGCGAUGGGGUUGGUUCUGAGUGCGGCGUCGGUGAGAGGUUGGACGACGGACUCUGGUAUGGAAGGUCCUUCGGUUCCGGCGGCGGCGGAGGCCCGAUCCAGUACGGAGAGGAUCUCAACCUUCCCGUGGUCCCUCUUUACCAAAUCGCCACGUCGAAGGAUGCGCGUUGCCUUCACUUGCAAUGUUUGCGGUCAGCGGACCACUCGUGCCAUCAAUCCUCAUGCUUACACCGAUGGAACCGUUUUCGUCCAGGUAAUUUUUUCUCCCUGUCCUCUGUUUGGUUGAUGGGAAAAGAUAAUAGAAAAAUAAAAUAAAAUCAAUAUCUUGUUUUAUGUUAUUUGUUUCCAAAUAAUGAAAACAACUUGCCUGAAUAAAGCAUUAUGUAAGGCUCAAUUGAAAGAGGUUUCUGUUUUCUCAGCUGCAAUUAUAGUUUCUUAUUGUGAAUGGCGUGUCCGUGAUUUGCAGUGCUGUGGAUGCAAUGUGUUUCAUAAACUGGUGGACAAUCUGAAUCUUUUUCAUGAGAUGAAGUGCUACGUGAACCCGAGCUUCAAUUACAGUGAUCCAAGAGGGGAUGUGGGCUUCAAGUAUCUUGAUAUGGAUGAUGAUAAUAACAAUGACGUCUUUCCUAUCUUUUGAGGUGAAAGAAUUGCUUAUAUACUUGUACAUUUCCUAUAUCAUACUUAGAAACUGAUUUUAAUUGCAUCUGUAAAUAUAUUGUCACUAUUGGUUUACAUGGGGUGUUCAAUUAAUAAUUCAGAGUUGGAUCCUUUUUAGAUGAUUUGGGUCACCAGGUUCAUUACUUAAUACUUGGUUUAUAUCUGUUUAUAUUGGAAAUAAUGUAAGAACUUUGUCCAGCAUCCAGGUCCCUCCUAAUUUGAUGCACUCCUAUUUGUUGUGCUUUAGUUCUCAUCAUUUACAGAAAGAUCUUGAGGGGUAAGCUAUAUGGAUUAGGAAUUUAACUUUAGGUCAUGGCUAUAUGCAUUGGAGUUUUUAAUCAUUGUCUUUCUUGAAGAUAUAGAAACUAUGUGGAUUCUACUUUUGAAGCUCCUAAAGUUGCAGUUUCUAAUUCUGUGUUGCAGUUGUAGUGGGUUUUUUUCUUUUGUUAGAAAGUUGGUAUUAUUGGUACCCAAUAAACUAUAUAUUAGAUUUAGUUUCAUAGUUGGAAGUGAAAAUGAAAUUUAGAUGGAAAGAUUGAUGACCUGUUAUUGAAUAGUCUAAAGGGAACAAACCAUCUUGUAUAACAACACUUCAUUGGCUGUGCAAGAAGAACCUGUAUUAUGCUUGAUGAAAAUGUAGGGAUAAUGGAAGAGAUGAAACAUGGAAAUUGAGUAAGAUAUAAGGUAAAAAGAAGCGAGAUUGAAUUUAGGGCCUAUAAUGCUCUUUAUCAUGAGAUCUUCAGUAGUUAGAUUCAAGGACCAGUUUCUGUGUGGUUUUGUUCCUUCCAGGCAGUAGUUCAGUUCAUUCAACUUGCUGAAUCAGAAAAUAGGAUAUGUUAUUAAGUAUGAUCAAAACUGAAUGUUCAUGAAUACUUAUUUCUCCAGACAUUCAGCUUAAUCUCUGAAAUGAUUUUAGAAAAUAGUAGCUUAACCAUGAGCAUGGUAUUAUUGAGUUGAAAUAUGCAACAUAUAGCUUAGAAACCUAUUGUUAAGUGUGGCUGUUGGGGAUGUCAUUUAUGUUUGAAUGGUUAAGUUUUCUAUCUUUCUUGAGAUCCUUGACCUCAGAGGUGUAACAUUUAGUGUCCAAUAGUGCAAAAUUAGAGUUUUCUCUUUUACCAAGAGAAAAGAAAAAAAAAAAAAAAAAAAAAAAAAAGAGCAAAAAGGACAAUAAAAAAUCCAAACAGUGUUGGCUUGUCCAAAAAAUGUAUUUGUGUACCUUGCAAAGAAGUCUAAAAUAGGUGCCAUCUCUAGAAUGGGGUUAAUAAAUUUUUAACAUGUACUCACUUGUUAUACUUUCCAUAAUUUUGGGUUGUUUAUCUUGAUUUGCAGGAAAAUACUAAGAUCUAAGGUAAGGUAGGUGCUAAAUAUUUUAUUAAAGCUAAAACUUGUAGUGAUUAUUUAAGCUGACAUUUCAGUACUAAAUGUGUGUUGGAUAAACAUGAAGAUAUCACAUAAGUGGUACAUGGAUUGCCUGUUUAACACAGAUAUACAUAGACAAUUAACUGAGCAAUCUGUUCCAGAUUGAUAUUCCAAGGAUCACGAGGGCCCAUACUAACCCAUAAACAUUUUUUCAUCUUUAGAAAUGUAGAUGUGGGGCAAGUUGCUGCAAGUUUUUUUUGAUAAGUAAGCACAGAAUUCAUUCAAAGAAGGCAAAAAAGCCCCAUAGUAUACAGGACGUAUAUAAGGCAGCUAAGACCUUACAAGCAAAAAAAGACCAAAAACUCACCACCCCUUAACUGGAGGCUAACCACUCCAGGAAUCCUAUAAGGGAAUGCAAGUUGCUGCAAGUUGAUUCAAUUAAGAUGCCAUUUGGCUGAUUCUUUUUCUAGACAGACUCUAUCAACAGUUGGAAGAAGUUGUAUCCCUGGAAAUAAAAAAAGUACUUGGUGGUUUAAGAUUAAACAAUUGAACAUGAUAGAUUAGAGAUGAUUUUUUUGAAAUCAGAUUUUAGUGGUGCCUCUUUUUUUGUUUCCCAUUAAGUCCUACUUGAUGUAAGACAACCCUAGGAUAGUUGUCUACACUCAAAUAGGUGGGCUAGGGUUUUUAUUUUUUAGGAUGUAGGGAGAGAAACAAGGAAUCAAGUUUAUGGUAGAGAAAAAAAAAAAAAACCUUCUAGAAGUUUUACCUAAAAGAAAAUUAAUGGAGUUUCACUAAGGAUUGCAACACUUGUAAUAAAAAAAACAUAAUAUUAUUAACAUCAAUCAAUUCUAAAGUCUACUAGGAUUCUAAUAACUUAUUCAAACUUUGAUUCUAAUUAUCUUAUAACAAUUGACUUUAACAAAUGCUAAUCCUAACUUGACUCCAACAAAUACUAAUCCUAAUUUAAUUUCAUUAAAUACUAAUUUUAAUUUAAUUCCAAGUUAUACUAAUCUAACUCUCUAAUUGCAACUUGCAACUAAUACAAAUUCACUACAGGUGGUACUCAUUUAUCCUUGCUUCAGCCACUAAACAUUGUUGUUGAGAAUAACAUCUGUGUAAUCAUAGCUAGGAGAAAGCUUCAAUUCACUAAUUUUUAUGUUCCUGGUUGUUUUAGUGCCAAUUCUUGGAGUGUACCUACUUUGUCAUGAAAUUCUUGGUUUCAGCCUUCGUUGUUUACAAAUUUCGAUAUGUGAGGGUAGAAAAAAUACAUAAUGGUUCGACCUUUAUUGUGUGAAACAGAUGCAUGUGUAGAAAACAGAAAUUGGGUCUGUGGUGGAGGGCAGGACUUUGAGACGUGUGGUUUAGGUGGUGUAUUGAGAUGAGGGGGUAGGCGUGGUCCUUAUGUCUAAAAUAUCUUCUACAUUUCAUUAGAACUGGCUAGGAAAGCAAUGCAAAGGAAUCUUUUGAACCUCAUAAUCGUUUAAAAAAACUAGGUCUCCGAAAAUGAAUUGUUUGUUUCCUAUUAAAAUAUGAAUUUCAAGUUUUGCUGUUGGAUAUUUAAGAUCAUGCUUAUACUUGGAACGGAGUGUAAUAGAAUAUGGUUAUGGGAAAUCUAUCCCAUUUCUCGUUUUAGUACUUUCUAUGUUUGGAUGAUUUUAAAUUGCAGUCUCAUGAAGAGUUUUUUUCCUGUCAUUUUCAUUUUUAUCGUCACUUUUAUUCCUAACGCACCAAACGCAGCCCCAAGACACCUGGAGUUGUUAGCGACGAAUUUUUAUGAUAAUUUUCGGCUCGGGAAAAAAAAUGUGGCGUGAAUUUGUGUACGAAUAGGGUGAGGAGCUAAAAUGAAAAAUAUUUAUUUCCGCUUGAUGUUGUUACUCUAAUCGGUUUGGCAUUGUCUUGUUUCCCUGUCGUAUCGUUUCAAUUAUAUAUAUAAUAAUAAUGAAAAAUAUUUUUCAUAAAAAAUGAAUUAUAAAAUGUGUAAUAUUUAUUUCAAGGUUUAAGAGUUGGGGGUCGGGUCACCCUCCCACAGCCGGACGAACCCAGUAACCGCCAUCCUUAUGUAUAAACCCAACUCAGUAACCGUACCGGACAGUUCUUUAAUAUGUCUAAUUUUAGUAGAUGAUUCUAACGUUCAGGGAAAGAUCUCGCCCAUUAAGCCUUUAUGUGGUUGACCAGAAGUAACCAAUGAGAUUCUAGCAUUUAAUUGGACUUUCGCACCUUACUCCAUAAUAAUCUCGUCUGUUUCCCACUCCUCCUAUCAGAACUGCAUAAUGAUAUAAACGAACAAAAAUGACAUAAAAGAAGAAAAAACCUUCAUUUAUCUUUGGGAAUUUCCUGAAGUUAUUCUGGUUAAUUGUUUUUGCAAUAUCUCCCAAAUCUAAGUUAAACAAAAAAUAAAAAUAGUAAAAGACAUAACUGGAUGGCUAGGUAUUAGGAAUUAGGAUCAGCAUAAAUUUGUCCAAGGAAUGGCCCGAGAAUCUUGCUCGAAGGCAAAGCAUUUUUCUUCCUACGAUUACCGAGAAACGCGACGCCACUUUUUGUCUCUGUAUUGUAGAAUCAUUGUCUUCGGAUUUUUAAAUCCUUGAUGAUGUUGGAAAUUAUCUCUACUCCAUGGACUGGGGAAUUUCUUAAAGAAAAUAAUACGUGGCUUCACCUCGUGCACUCACCCCUUACUUUAUAAUUCUUUCAUAUCUUCAAGUUUAAUGAGAGAUUAAUAUCCAAUGAUUGUCUGCUUGGCACUUUCAUUAUGAUUUGAUGAAUUUGUCCACUUUUCUGUUUUAUCAUAUUUUCUUUAAUUGUAAUCCAUAGCAAGGAGGCGGAGAGGAAGUAAAAGACUCUUAGUUUCAGCAUUUGGCAUUUUGUAAGAGAGAUAUUUUGUUGUCCCUAUCUAUUUAUUUUUCUAUCCAUUUGGUCCAGUGAUACAGUUAAAUCACAAGAAAGUAUUAAUAAUAAUAAUAAUAAUAAUAAUAAUAAUUCACGAGAAAUCAAAUAUGUUUUUAUUUUGAGUUCAAUAAGAAUGUUAUAAUAUGUUUAGAUAUUUUUAUUAAAAGAAUUUAUAAAUUUAAAAGGAAAAUCUAAUAAGGUAAUGGUAUGUUUUAGCGAUUGAGUUUGAAUAGGUCUGAAAUCAAAAUAAAAUUCUCAAAUUGGAACUUCAAAUUCAAAUAAAAUUAUGGAUUAACUCUAACUUCAGUUUUUCAACUUCUUAAAGGCACAAACAAACAUAUAUCUAACAUCCCCAACUCUAAAUCACACAAUCAGAGUUGCAAAACCAAUCCUCAUUGGAAAAAUUUUCCACCUCCCACAUUCUCAACCUCACAUCAGUACAGCCAUGCCACGUCAGAGGAUAGCAUCCAAUCCAACCAAUAGCAGGCAUCCUCUGCAGAUAACCCAUUUCUCCACCCAUCCCAUCCUCCUUUAUCUCAUACAAAUACAAACCACACAAAUCAAAAAACACCACCUCACCGCAAGUCUUCGCUUUCUAUUAAAUCAUCCCCACACCCUCCUCUUCUUCUGAUUUCUUCCCUUGCAACCAGACACACUCACUCAGAGACAGUUGAAGGAAAUGGCCAUCGUCACCUCCGCCGCAGUCGCCAUCCCCUCAUUCACCGGCCUCAAGGCCUCCGGCGCAACCAUGACCCGCGCUGCCGCCACCGUCAAGACCAUCACCGCACCGGCCCCGAGGCUCGUGGCCAAGGCUGCACUGAAGGACGUGGGAGUGGCCGUCGUCGCCACCGCCGCCAGCGCUUUGCUCGCCAGCAAUGCCAUGGCCAUGGAGGUCUUGCUCGGCAGCAGCGACGGAGGCCUGGUGUUUGUGCCGUCGACCAUCACCGUCCCCGCCGGAGAGAAGAUCACGUUCAAGAACAAUGCUGGCUUCCCUCACAACGUUGUGUUCGACGAGGAUGAAGUUCCGUCCGGCGUCGACGUAUCGAAAAUCUCGAUGUCCGAAGAGGAUCUGUUGAAUGCACCUGGAGAAGUGUACUCUGUGACUUUGACCGAGAAAGGUACCUACAGUUUCUACUGUUCUCCUCACCAGGGUGCUGGUAUGGUGGGAAAGGUGACCGUUAAUUAAGUUAGUUUAUAUGAAUGACGAUGAAUUUGCAAGGAACAUCUCAU